GGGGAUAUAGCUCAGUUGGUAGAGUGCUGGCCUAACAUGCACAAGGCCCUGGGUUCAAUCCCCAGCACCACUA
Ictidomys tridecemlineatus (thirteen-lined ground squirrel) is the source of this 73-nucleotide non-coding RNA. The record is from Rfam. NCBI's taxonomy places the organism in Eukaryota, Metazoa, Chordata, Mammalia, Rodentia, Sciuridae.